NNNGAUACAGAGAAGAUUAGCAUGGCCCCUGCGCAAGGAUGAAUAAAAGAUAGAUAUUAAAUGUUGUU
RNAcentral lists this small nuclear RNA (68 nucleotides) under Glossina palpalis gambiensis. Lineage: Eukaryota; Metazoa; Arthropoda; Insecta; Diptera; Glossinidae. The record is from RNAcentral.